UUUGAUACCAAUCAAUCAGAUUGUAUGUUUGAGUUCACCUGUUCCAACAUGAUAAAUAAAAAAGGAUUAAUUUCAUACAUUGUCCUACAAACAUAAUGAAUAACAAAUAUAUUCCUACAAAGUGAUGAAUAGAAAAUUUCAUAGUGUCCAUAAAACCUGUAUAGUAACAUAAUUUCAAAUUGUCGGCUAAAGCAAUAGUAGAAGGAACGGUCUAUCUGAAUUGGCUGCAUGUUGGUGGACCAUUUGGAAGGCCAGAAACAACCUUGUUUUUCGUGAUAUUUAGUUUGACCUUAUUUUAGCGGUGCAAAGACUCAAGCUUUUGAUUGAUUCUUGGAAAGACACUCUAUGACAUCCUUUUUUCUUUUUCUUUUUUUCUUUCUUUUUUUUCUCUUCUCGAGACCCUGGUUGUCUCAUCUCUGUAGCCUAAUUCAUUUAUUCAAUGAAUGAAGCAGGUAGCGUGCUAUCUAUUCUCAAAAUCCUAUCUCAAAAUUAUGGGUG
RNAcentral lists this long non-coding RNA (498 nucleotides) under Ananas comosus (pineapple). RNAcentral describes it as "long non-coding RNA (ACOM_LNC011252)". The record is from RNAcentral. Lineage: Eukaryota; Viridiplantae; Streptophyta; Magnoliopsida; Poales; Bromeliaceae.